GGCUCAGUUGGUAGAGCAUGGCGUGUGCAACGCCAGGGUUGUGGGUUCGAUUCCCAC
This 57-nucleotide transfer RNA is filed under the name Salmo salar (Atlantic salmon). It matches the Rfam family "tRNA", at positions 9 to 63 of the family's 71-position model. From Rfam's summary of the family: Transfer RNA (tRNA) molecules are approximately 80 nucleotides in length. Their secondary structure includes four short double-helical elements and three loops (D, anti-codon, and T loops). Further hydrogen bonds mediate the characteristic L-shaped molecular structure. tRNAs have two regions of fundamental functional importance: the anti-codon, which is responsible for specific mRNA codon recognition, and the 3' end, to which the tRNAs corresponding amino acid is attached (by aminoacyl-tRNA synthetases). tRNAs cope with the degeneracy of the genetic code in two manners: having more than one tRNA (with a specific anti-codon) for a particular amino acid; and 'wobble' base-pairing, i.e. permitting non-standard base-pairing at the 3rd anti-codon position. The record is from Rfam by way of RNAcentral. Lineage: Eukaryota; Metazoa; Chordata; Actinopteri; Salmoniformes; Salmonidae.